GUCCGGCUACUAUAUUUUAUGAGUAUUGGCACCUUUAUACUCAUAAGUUUUCGACCCUUAGAUUUAUUCAUUAAUCAUUUUUAUCCGUUAGAUCAUACUAUUUAACAAUACACCACUAACUCUAGGGACCCCUGUCAUUCUAAGUGGGGACCACCAUCAUCCUAACCAACAUCCCAUCAAUCAAUGGUUAAAAAUUUAUGAGUACAAGGAGGUCUAUACUUAUAAAAGUAUAGUAGCCCCAGUAUAUAUAUAUAGGGGCAAUU
Molecule: long non-coding RNA, 263 nt
Filed under: Ananas comosus (pineapple)
Lineage: Eukaryota; Viridiplantae; Streptophyta; Magnoliopsida; Poales; Bromeliaceae
Description: long non-coding RNA (ACOM_LNC022569)
Source: RNAcentral